GACGAACGCUGGCGGCGUGCUUAACACAUGCAAGUCGAACGGAAAGGCCCUGCUUGCAGGGUGCUCGAGUGGCGAACGGGUGAGUAACACGUGGGUGAUCUGCCCCUUAUUUUGGGAUAAGCCUGGGAAACUGGGUCUAAUACUGGAUAGGACCAUGCUGUAGGUGGUGUGGUGGAAAGAUUAGUUUCGGUAAGGGAUGAGCUCGCGGCCUAUCAGCUUGUUGGUGGGGUAAUGGCCUACCAAGGCGUCGACGGGUAGCCGGCCUGAGAGGGUGGACGGCCACAUUGGGACUGAGAUACGGCCCAGACGCCUACGAGAGGCAGCAGUGGGGAAUAGUGCACAAUGGGCGCAAGCCUGAUGCAGCGACGCCGCGUGGGGGAUGACGGCCUUCGGGUUGUAAACUCCUUGCAGCCAUGACGAAGCCCUUGUGGUGACGGUAGUGGUAGAAGAAGCACCGGCUAACUACGUG
Molecule: ribosomal RNA, 469 nt
Filed under: uncultured bacterium
Lineage: Bacteria
Description: partial 16S ribosomal RNA
Rfam family: Bacterial small subunit ribosomal RNA
Source: RNAcentral